RNAcentral lists this long non-coding RNA (335 nucleotides) under Hordeum vulgare. Its description in RNAcentral is "long non-coding RNA (HVUL_LNC001323)". Lineage: Eukaryota; Viridiplantae; Streptophyta; Magnoliopsida; Poales; Poaceae. The record is from RNAcentral.
GCGCCAAGAACAAGGGACCAAGGUGCUGAACUAACAACAAGGGGAGGAUGAUUCUUCAGGUACCAACAAAGCUAUAGACCAGAUAAUUAAGUUAACGUUUGCUUUUCUUGAAACUCCAAAUCGUAGUUAUUCUAUUUGUUCACUAAUUUGGUAUGAUCUUAAUCUAGGAGGAUUAUCACUGUAUGAUAUGAGAUCCCGACGUUUAGCAGUGAUAAAUGUCUGACGUUGAAUGGUUCUUUUCAGAAGUACAAUUGUAAGAUCUAUGAUUCUAGCUUCGAACUUUAACUAGACAGUACUAACUGGACAUAUAAUUGAUUAUUUAUGCACAACAAGAU